Molecule: transfer RNA, 77 nt
Filed under: Puniceicoccales bacterium
Lineage: Bacteria; Pseudomonadati; Verrucomicrobiota; Opitutia; Puniceicoccales
Description: tRNA-Val
Rfam family: tRNA
About the family: Transfer RNA (tRNA) molecules are approximately 80 nucleotides in length. Their secondary structure includes four short double-helical elements and three loops (D, anti-codon, and T loops).
Source: RNAcentral
GGGGGAUUAGCUCAGUUGGUUAGAGCACUUGCUUCACACGCAAGGGGUCAGUGGUUCGAGUCCACUAUCUCCCACCA